UACGUAGGUGGCGAGCGUUAUCCGGAUUUACUGGGUGUAAAGGGCGUGUAGGCGGUUUUGUAAGUCGGAUGUGAAAUUCCCAGGCUUAACCUGGGCGCUGCAUCCGAAACUACAAAACUUGAGUACUGGAGAGGAUAGUGGAAUUCCUAGUGUAGCGGUAAAAUGCGUAGAUAUUAGGAGGAACAUCAGUGGCGAAGGCGACUAUCUGGACAGUAACUGACGCUGAGGCGCGAAAGCGUGGGGAGCAAACAGGAUUAGAUACCCUGGUAGUCCACGCCGUAAACGAUGGAUACUAGGUGUAGGGGGUAUCGACCCCCCCUGUGCCGGAGUUAACACAAUAAGUAUCCCACCUGGGGAGUACGGCCGCAAGGUUGAA
RNAcentral lists this ribosomal RNA (376 nucleotides) under uncultured bacterium. Its description in RNAcentral is "bacterial SSU rRNA". It matches the Rfam family "Bacterial small subunit ribosomal RNA", at positions 524 to 898 of the family's 1533-position model. The record is from RNAcentral.